RNAcentral lists this ribosomal RNA (254 nucleotides) under uncultured bacterium. RNAcentral's name for it is "partial 16S ribosomal RNA". It matches the Rfam family "Bacterial small subunit ribosomal RNA", at positions 524 to 776 of the family's 1533-position model. The record is from RNAcentral.
UACGUAGGUGGCAAGCGUUGUCCGGAUUUAUUGGGUUUAAAGGGUGCGUAGGCGGCUUUGUAAGUCAGUGGUGAAAUACUCCAGCUUAACUGGAGGGGUGCCAUUGAUACUGCGGAGCUUGAGUACAGAUGAGGUAGGCGGAAUUGACGGUGUAGCGGUGAAAUGCAUAGAUAUCGUCAAGAACACCGAUAGCGAAGGCAGCUUACUGGGCUGUAACUGACGCUGAUGCACGAAAGUGUGGGGGAUCAAACAGG